CCUACGGGUGGCAGCAGUGGGGAAUAUUGCGCAAUGGGCGAAAGCCUGACGCAGCGACGCCGCGUGAGGGAUGAAGGUUCUAUGGAUCGUAAACCUCUUUUAUAAGGGAAUAAAGUGUGGGACGUGUCCUAUUUUGUAUGUACCUUAUGAAUAAGGAUCGGCUAACUCCGUGCCAGCAGCCGCGGUAAUACGGAGGAUCCGAGCGUUAUCCGGAUUUAUUGGGUUUAAAGGGUGCGUAGGCGGCCUUUUAAGUCAGCGGUGAAAGUCUGUGGCUCAACCAUAGAAUUGCCGUUGAAACUGGGGGGCUUGAGUAUGUUUGAGGCAGGCGGAAUGCGUGGUGUAGCGGUGAAAUGCUUAGAUAUCACGCAGAACCCCGAUUGUGAAGGCAGCCUGCCAAGCCAUGACUGACGCUGAUGCACGAAAGCGUGGGGAUCAAACAGGAUUAGAUACCCUUGUAGUC
Molecule: ribosomal RNA, 460 nt
Filed under: uncultured bacterium
Lineage: Bacteria
Description: partial 16S ribosomal RNA
Rfam family: Bacterial small subunit ribosomal RNA
Source: RNAcentral